UUUUUGCUGCAUUUGCAUGAGGUUAGGGCUUGCAUGAAAGAGACGGAUACGUGUCACGCUUCGUGCCCAUCAGCUCGCAUGCGCUGCUUCUUAUCUGGUCCGUCCAAGCCAUUUUUGUCCUGUAGCAUUUAAAAUCUAGCAUGACCGGUUGAGCAAUGUCACAUGUUUAUUUUAAAUGAACAUUUUAUUUUGGUCACACGCUGAAUAUCAUUUGGAUCGUGGGCUUCCAGCGCUUGCUCUUUCCACCUCCACGCUUGGCCCACUAACACACUUCCAUCCUAUUUUCAUUUUCUCUUUUUAAUUUCAUUUUUAUUUUCUGC
RNAcentral lists this long non-coding RNA (320 nucleotides) under Lathyrus oleraceus (garden pea). RNAcentral describes it as "Pisum sativum (pea) long non-coding RNA (PSAT_LNC035118)". Lineage: Eukaryota; Viridiplantae; Streptophyta; Magnoliopsida; Fabales; Fabaceae. The record is from RNAcentral.